GGCGGCGACGCGAGGGGCUGCGGGGCGGCGCGCGUGCUCCGCUCGGCCUUCGGGCCGACGGGGGGUCAGCACAGGUGGAUCUGCCGUCUGCCACAGCCCCGCAGCCGCGCCCCACCGCCGUAACGCGGCUCGUUGCGGUAAGUGAAGACCACAGGUGUAGCGUGGGCAGCGCUCGCUCGAACCUUCUCCUCAGGCCGGAGCCCCGCGCUUGGCUCGCCCCUCAGGGAGCAGCGCUUCACGCGCACCACAAGCGCCCCGUCCGCCUCUCACGUUCCUGUUUGGAUAUCGCAAAUGGGAAACGUUUUGUCAGACUGUGCUUCGUGGGAUGGGGAAUUCAAGUCUGGUUCUAUCCCCUGAUAGCAUCGCAGAACCACCUGAGGUGGAAGGGACCCUUUAAAGGCCAUGCAGGCCACUGCCGAUCAGGGGAGAGGGAAAGAAAGAUCCUCCAGCAAAACACUCGUUAGAAAGAAUUCCUCUUUCAUGGAAGCUGCAGUAGAUAACUGGAUUAAAGACCUGCAGGAAAUGGAAAAUGCAUUGCUCUGAGAUCAUAAAUGGACUUAUCAGAACAGCUGGACUCUAUUUACCACUUCAUCACAAGUUUGUGGACCUCCCAGGCACACCAAUUACUUCACAUCAGCUCUGAAUACCCACGACCGUUUGAUGUCCCACAUGAAGAGGUAAUAUUCUGCACGAUUCAGUACUCCUGAUGCUGUAAUUUCUUAACAGCAGCAGUUCCAGAACACCAGAAGUGCUGUAGGAGAACUGCUGUGAAGGUUAAACUAUGGCUUCAUACUCACGUUCACCACUGGCUGCUGGCAUAGGAGAAUGAACAAAUGGGAAUAAGUUAUUUUUUGAAGCUAGCUGCUGCAAUGGAAGAAUCGUACUGAACUGUGCCCCAACCAAGGCUGUGGGAGAGAGAAACACUUGCUAGGCAUGGCAAAUCUGAUUCUAGAAAAUUGCAUUUAUAAGCAAAAGAAGUUGUAGGAACCAGCAGCGAAGCGUACAAGAUGACCCCAGACAUGAGAUAGAACAGUUCCAUUUUUGAAGUACAUUUAAAAGAAAAGUUUGCCACCAGCAAUUGGAGAGCUUAUUGUUUUCAAAAGAUUAACAAACUUAUUUUCCUACAACUUAAAGAUUGAAAAUCCGAAUUGUAAAUUCUGCGGAUGCUGCAAGGAACAUGGAGUGAUCAAUCUUCAUGAUCCGUUCCGUGGCGAGCUGGGAAAAAAAAAUGCAGUUGCUAAUCAAUGUCCGAACAGUCUGAAGCUCCGGAAGAGAUCCAAGGAGUCACUAUCAAACUAUCCUGUAGCAUGAGAUCAUUGCACACAGAAGAACAGUCAUAAAA
This is a long non-coding RNA of Gallus gallus (chicken), 1342 nucleotides long. RefSeq lists it as uncharacterized. The record is from RefSeq and is a predicted model, not a curated record. The transcript is spliced from 5 exons. NCBI's taxonomy places the organism in Eukaryota, Metazoa, Chordata, Aves, Galliformes, Phasianidae.